This 459-nucleotide ribosomal RNA is filed under the name uncultured Ochrobactrum sp. Its description in RNAcentral is "bacterial SSU rRNA". It matches the Rfam family "Bacterial small subunit ribosomal RNA", at positions 927 to 1382 of the family's 1533-position model. The record is from RNAcentral. Lineage: Bacteria; Pseudomonadati; Pseudomonadota; Alphaproteobacteria; Hyphomicrobiales; Brucellaceae.
AAGCGGUGGAGUAUGUGGUUUAAUUCGAUGCAACGCGAAGAACCUUACCUGGUCUUGACAUCCCGGAGACCCUUAGGAAACUAGGGGGUGCUUCCAUCUGGAAGAAUCUGGAGACAGGUGCUGCAUGGCUGUCGUCAGCUCGUGUCGUGAGAUGUUGGGUUAAGUCCCGCAACGAGCGCAACCCUCGCCUUAGUUGCCAGCAUUUAGUUGGGCACUCUAAGGGGACUGCCGGUGAUAAGCCGAGAGGAAGGUGGGGAUGACGUCAAGUCCUCAUGGCCCUUACGGGCUGGGCUACACACGUGCUACAAUGGUGGUGACAGUGGGCAGCGAGCACGCGAGUGUGAGCUAAUCUCCAAAAGCCAUCUCAGUUCGGAUUGCAGUCUGCAACUCGACUGCAUGAAGUUGGAAUCGCUAGUAAUCCCGGAUCAGCAUGCCGGGGUGAAUACGUUCCCGGGCCUU